ACUGAGGUCUAUCCCGAUGGGAUCUCUUCCAUAGGUUCGUGUCGUUGGAAACGCCUCACAGAAUAAACUUGUGGUUCCGCUUUGCCCAUUGAGCUGCUCGUUGGCUCUGUGGGAUAAGAACUGCAAGACAAGY
Nothoprocta perdicaria is the source of this 133-nucleotide small nucleolar RNA. The record is from Ensembl. Lineage: Eukaryota; Metazoa; Chordata; Aves; Tinamiformes; Tinamidae.